This 699-nucleotide ribosomal RNA is filed under the name uncultured Paracoccus sp. RNAcentral's name for it is "bacterial SSU rRNA". It matches the Rfam family "Bacterial small subunit ribosomal RNA", at positions 28 to 773 of the family's 1533-position model. The record is from RNAcentral. Lineage: Bacteria; Pseudomonadati; Pseudomonadota; Alphaproteobacteria; Rhodobacterales; Paracoccaceae.
AACGAACGCUGGCGGCAGGCCUAACACAUGCAAGUCGAGCGAGACCUUCGGGUCUAGCGGCGGACGGGUGAGUAACGCGUGGGAAUAUGCCCUUUGGUACGGAAUAGCCUCGGGAAACUGGGAGUAAUACCGUAUGUGCCCUUCGGGGGAAAGAUUUAUCGCCAAAGGAUUAGCCCGCGUUGGAUUAGGUAGUUGGUGGGGUAAUGGCCUACCAAGCCUACGAUCCAUAGCUGGUUUGAGAGGAUGAUCAGCCACACUGGGACUGAGACACGGCCCAGACUCCUACGGGAGGCAGCAGUGGGGAAUCUUAGACAAUGGGGGCAACCCUGAUCUAGCCAUGCCGCGUGAUCGAUGAAGGCCUUAGGGUUGUAAAGAUCUUUCAGCUGGGAAGAUAAUGACGGUACCAGCAGAAGAAGCCCCGGCUAACUCUGUGCCAGCAGCCGCGGUAAUACGGAGGGGGCUAGCGUUGUUCGGAAUUACUGGGCGUAAAGCGCACGGAGGCGGAUUGGAAAGCUGGGGGUGAAAUCCCGGGGCUCAACCUCGGAACUGCCUCCAAAACUAUCAGUCUAGAGUUCGAGAGAGGUGAGUGGAAUUCCGAGUGUAGAGGUGAAAUUCGUGGAUAUUCGGAGGAACACCAGUGGCGAAGGCGGCUCACUGGCUCGAUACUGACGCUGAGGUGCGAAAGCGUGGGGAGCAACA